Molecule: ribosomal RNA, 393 nt
Filed under: uncultured bacterium
Lineage: Bacteria
Description: bacterial SSU rRNA
Rfam family: Bacterial small subunit ribosomal RNA
Source: RNAcentral
AUUGAACGCUGGCGGCAGGCCUAACACAUGCAAGUCGAACGGUAACAGGAAGCAGCUUGCUGCUUCGCUGACGAGUGGCGGACGGGUGAGUAAAUGUCUGGGGAUCUGCCCGAUGGAGGGGGAUAACCACUGGAAACGGUGGCUAAUACCGCAUAACGUCGCAAGACCAAAGUGGGGGACCUUCGGGCCUCACACCAUCGGAUGAACCCAGAUGGGAUUAGCUAGUAGGUGGGGUAACGGCUCACCUAGGCGACGAUCCCUAGCUGGUCUGAGAGGAUGACCAGCCACACUGGAACUGAGACACGGUCCAGACUCCUACGGAGGCAGCAGUGGGAAUAUGCACAAUGGGCGCAAAGCCUGAUGCAGCCAUGCCGCGUGUAUGAAGAAAGGCCU